CCUGAGAAACCCAAAAGAUCGAAUGGGGAGAUUCAGCGUCAGCGGUGCUGGUGAGCAAGUGGUUCGCGAUGUUGGAGACCUCGGUCUCGUAGCACGCGUCCGUUUACAUUCCGGUAUCGUCGGCGUGCACUUCUCCCCUAGUAGGACGUCGCGACCCGUUGGGUGUCGGUCUACGGCCCGGGUGGGUGCCUGUCUCGUGUGGCGCUUCACGGCGUCACUGCGGGACAGACCCCCGGCUGCCUGACCGGCUGCCCGGCGGUACUCGCAAGGUAUCUGGCCGCAAAUAUUUGAACUGCGUCCGGCCCGUCGCAAGCGAGGCAAGUGUUUCCCGAAUGUACGGAUCUGAUGCCGUCAUCGGGCCUGGCCAGCUGUUGGUUGACGGUGUCCUAGGACUGGCUAUAAGAAUUAUGAUACCGGUCAGCGACGCUACUGCUUUGGGUACUUUCAGGA
Molecule: ribosomal RNA, 450 nt
Filed under: Orthocentrus sp. CNC 422411
Lineage: Eukaryota; Metazoa; Arthropoda; Insecta; Hymenoptera; Ichneumonidae
Description: partial 28S ribosomal RNA
Source: RNAcentral